GGUGCUGCACAACCAACCUGGCAUUCAUCGCCUUCGCACAACACACUCCCGUGGCUCCGGUGGCCUGCCGAAUGCUGACGGGGCACAAGCAUGGUGUAGGUGUGGAGACAAAAAGUCUCGAUUUCGUGUGAGCAUCUUAUCUUCUACCUACACUAAUCUUCUUUGAGACAACUGAAGAAAAUUUGCAGCUCCAAUCCACAAUAAAAUGGCUGAGAGUGACGAAGCAGAGGGUGGCCAAGACCUGGAGGCUCCCGAGGAAGACCUGACUGACGAACGGCAAGCCUUGGAGCACUUUGGUAAAUACCACGAAGCCCGGCGUAGUCUACCUUGGGAGCAGUGGACCUUCAAAGAAAAGGCAAACUUUUACAUGGACCGCAUCUUCCUCGGGCUCUUGGUCCUUUUUUUGAUCAUGUUGCUGGGAGAAUGUGGCUUUAAAAUGUGGUAUGUGACAAACGUGAAGAAGAUUGUAGAGUUUGUGUCAGAUUUGGUGGUCUUUCUGUUCGACUUUCUCUUCGCCCAGCAGAGACAGGAGGAGUUGUUUGAAUUGUAGGUUGUGAUUAGAAGGUGACCACUUGAUUAUAUUAUCACUUUUUUGUGUUUUCUACAUUGUGGUAUUACAAAUACCCAGUAAAGAAUUAUAGCUCCAUCUUAACUGGAGAUACAGCAGUGUAUUCAUGAUUUCUGAACUAUAUUAUUGAUGGUGAAUUAAUGGAAAUAAAUAAUGUGUACAACUAAA
Sebastes umbrosus (honeycomb rockfish) is the source of this 736-nucleotide long non-coding RNA. RefSeq lists it as uncharacterized. The record is from RefSeq and is a predicted model, not a curated record. NCBI's taxonomy places the organism in Eukaryota, Metazoa, Chordata, Actinopteri, Perciformes, Sebastidae. The transcript is spliced from 2 exons.